UCCCUUAUGGUCCAGUGGCUAAGACUCUGUUCUCCCAAUGCAGGGGGCCUGGGUUUGAUCCCUGGUCAGAGAA
Non-coding RNA from Bos taurus (domestic cattle), 73 nucleotides. NCBI's taxonomy places the organism in Eukaryota, Metazoa, Chordata, Mammalia, Artiodactyla, Bovidae. The record is from Rfam.